Molecule: long non-coding RNA, 715 nt
Filed under: Mus caroli (Ryukyu mouse)
Lineage: Eukaryota; Metazoa; Chordata; Mammalia; Rodentia; Muridae
Description: lncRNA (MGP_CAROLIEiJ_G0003591.1)
Source: RNAcentral
AUCCCGACCUGGGUGACUUCGUGGGUGCGCACCCAGCUCUUUGAAGUUCAAGGCCUGAGAAGUCCCUGGGCAGCCGGAUGUCAGAGGAUUCAGCUGGGGUUAAAAGGCGCCUCCUACUGGAGCUGCCUGCCUCCUUAUCCCACCACGCUGCUACCUCACCAGGACCGGAGGGGAGGCCUCAAAAAUGAGAAGAUUCUAUUCUUGGAUCUGCCAGCACUGGGGAUGUUUUGAUUUAAGCUGAGGGUCUCUGCAGGACCCUGGCUCGGAAUACCCACACCUAGAAUUUCCAAGAGCUGGCAGAACAAUGGGCACCCAAAGCUGUUCACAUCUCAGUCUCUGGAACCCAGGACCUUAGGUGGUAGACUGCAGGAUCAAUAUGAGUAUCAGAGGCAGCAGCAGGAUGCGAUGCUCUGUGUGAGUCCCUGUGACAUCUGAACUGCAGUUGCUGAGACCUGAACUGCCCACUCGGGAACACAGGACUCUUUAGAGCAGGCUUGUCUGAUGGACUAUUCCUGAACUCUGGACAUGUGAUGCUUGAAAAUGAGUGUCUAGUGGGGCUUGGUGAUGCAUGCAUGUAAUCCCAGUGCCUUUGGGAACUGAGGCAGGGGGAUCAGAAGAUCAGGGUCACCCUUUUUGAGGAACCACCCUUUGUGUGGUUCUAUCUCAACACACACACACACACACACACCAAAAAUCAAAAACUAAAAAAAAAAAA